Molecule: ribosomal RNA, 465 nt
Filed under: Cylicostephanus goldi
Lineage: Eukaryota; Metazoa; Nematoda; Chromadorea; Rhabditida; Strongylidae
Description: partial large subunit ribosomal RNA
Source: RNAcentral
UAAAUUUUGAUUUUUUAUUAGUAGGUAUUGCAUACCGUUUAAAGAAAAUUUUAUUUAAAUAAAAUAUAGAAUUAAAAGGUAGAAAUUUUUAUUAUUUUUAUUGUUUCAUAAUAAAAAUUAUAAAAUUUAGAGUUGAAAAGUCGACUUUUAAGAUAUCUGUUUAGUUGGUAGUUUAUUAGAAAUUUAUGUAAGAAAGAAAUUUUUAUAUAAAAAGUAAAAGUUGAAGUAUUUGUUUGGUUAGUUUUAUAACUGUUUAUAUUUAUUAGAAUUAAUGUUAAAAUUAAAAAAAAUUAUUAAAUUGUUAAUAAUUAAAUUGUUUUAAAAUAAGUAUUUAAGUUAAAUUAUUUAUUAUUAUAUAAUUUAAUGAAAUAACUAAAAAUUUAAUCAAAUGUUUUUUAAAGACUUAGACUUUUAUCUAAAGUUUGCUUCUGCCCAAUGAUUAUUAUUAAAUGGCACUCUUAGCGU